AAAUUGAAGAGUUUGAUCAUGGCUCAGAUUGAACGCUGGCGGCAGGCCUAACACAUGCAAGUCGAACGGUAACAGGAAGAAGCUUGCUUCUUUGCUGACGAGUGGCGGACGGGUGAGUAAUGUCUGGGAAACUGCCUGAUGGAGGGGGAUAACUACUGGAAACGGUAGCUAAUACCGCAUAACGUCGCAAGACCAAAGAGGGGGACCUUCGGGCCUCUUGCCAUCGGAUGUGCCCAGAUGGGAUUAGCUAGUAGGUGGGGUAACGGCUCACCUAGGCGACGAUCCCUAGCUGGUCUGAGAGGAUGACCAGCCACACUGGAACUGAGACACGGUCCAGACUCCUACGGGAGGCAGCAGUGGGG
RNAcentral lists this ribosomal RNA (362 nucleotides) under Escherichia coli. RNAcentral's name for it is "bacterial SSU rRNA". It matches the Rfam family "Bacterial small subunit ribosomal RNA", at positions 1 to 359 of the family's 1533-position model. Lineage: Bacteria; Pseudomonadati; Pseudomonadota; Gammaproteobacteria; Enterobacterales; Enterobacteriaceae. The record is from RNAcentral.